UACGGAGGGCGCGAGCGUUGUCCGGAAUCACUGGGCGUAAAGGGCGCGUAGGCGGCGGGCCAAGCGUGCGGUGAAAGCCCGGGGCUCAACCCCGGGUCGGCCGUGCGGACUGGCGCGCUCGAGCACUGUAGGGGCAGGCGGAACUCCGGGAGUAGCGGUGGAAUGCGUAGAGAUCCGGAAGAACACCGGUGGCGAAGGCGGCCUGCUGGGCAGUGGCUGACGCUGAGGCGCGACAGCGUGGGGAGCAAACAGG
RNAcentral lists this ribosomal RNA (253 nucleotides) under uncultured bacterium. RNAcentral describes it as "partial 16S ribosomal RNA". It matches the Rfam family "Bacterial small subunit ribosomal RNA", at positions 524 to 776 of the family's 1533-position model. The record is from RNAcentral.